Non-coding RNA from Weissella viridescens, 363 nucleotides. It matches the Rfam family "transfer-messenger RNA". From Rfam's summary of the family: Bacterial tmRNA, also known as 10Sa RNA or SsrA, is named for its dual tRNA and mRNA-like properties. Its role is to liberate the mRNA from a stalled ribosome. To accomplish this part of the tmRNA is used as a reading frame that ends in a translation stop signal. Lineage: Bacteria; Bacillati; Bacillota; Bacilli; Lactobacillales; Lactobacillaceae. The record is from Rfam.
GGGGUCGUUUUGGAAUCGACUAGUAUUGUUCGAGCUAGUAUGGCGCUUAGGGGUUGUGUCCCUAUAAACCACUCAGUUGAAUUAACUGCAAACAAUUCAAAUAACUACGCCGUCGCUGCCUAAAACACAGCACGCGUGAUCGUUGCACAUUGUGAUUGCCGAUAUGUUAACGGUUUAAUAAUUUAGUAAUCUGCGCUGUAUGUUCUCCGAUUGGGGAUGUGCAGAAGAGGAUAAUCAAUCUAGCAAGUUGAUCGCUUUGUGAUGCGGCGUGCAACUUGUGAAAUUUAAAAUGCAUGACUAUGAGCGUAGAGGUAUUAGUAGCGAGAUAGUAGGACAGGGGUUCGAAUCCCCUCGACUCCACUC